RNAcentral lists this ribosomal RNA (254 nucleotides) under uncultured bacterium. RNAcentral describes it as "partial 16S ribosomal RNA". It matches the Rfam family "Bacterial small subunit ribosomal RNA", at positions 524 to 777 of the family's 1533-position model. The record is from RNAcentral.
UACAGAGGGUGCAAGCGUUGUUCGGGAUUAUUGGGCGUAAAGGGCUCGUAGGCGGUUUGUCGCGUCGGGAGUGAAAACGCCGUGCUUAACACGGCGCUUGCUUUCGAUACGGGCAGACUAGAGGUAUGCAGGGGAGAACGGAAUUCCUGGUGUAGCGGUGAAAUGCGCAGAUAUCUGGAGGAACACCGGUGGCGAAGGCGGCAUCCUGGACCGGCAUUGACGCUGAGGCGCGAAAGCCAGGGGAGCAAAGCGGG